This 325-nucleotide ribosomal RNA is filed under the name uncultured Cercomonas. RNAcentral describes it as "SSU rRNA". The stretch from base 111 to 325 matches the Rfam family "Eukaryotic small subunit ribosomal RNA", at positions 740 to 955 of the family's 1831-position model. The record is from RNAcentral. Lineage: Eukaryota; Cercozoa; Cercomonadida; Cercomonadidae.
GAUUUCUGGUUCGGCGCACUUGGCCCGCCUCGGUUUACGGGGUUGUGUGCCGGUGUGCGCCAUCCAUCCUUCGAGUGAACAGUUCUGCCCUUCACUGGGUUGGAGCUGCCUAACUCGAUCUUUUACUUUGAAAAAAUUAGAGUGUUUCAAGCAGGCUUUAUGCUAUGAAUACAUUAGCAUGGAAUAAUAAUUUAGGACUUCGGUUCUAUUUUGUUGGUUUCUAGGACUGAAGUAAUGAUUGAUAGGGAUAGUUGGGGGUGCUAGUAUUCAGCGGCCAGAGGUGAAAUUCUCGGAUUCGCUGAAGACUAACUUAUGCGAAAGCAUU